This 604-nucleotide ribosomal RNA is filed under the name uncultured bacterium. RNAcentral's name for it is "bacterial SSU rRNA". It matches the Rfam family "Bacterial small subunit ribosomal RNA", at positions 56 to 641 of the family's 1533-position model. The record is from RNAcentral.
UGCAGUCGACGCGAAAGCCCCGCAAGGGGCAAGUAGAGUGACAAACGGGUGAGUAACACGUGGGUGAUCUGCCUCGAAGUGGGGGAUAACGACCCGAAAGGGUCGCUAAUACCGCAUAACAUCCUGCUUUUGGAUAAGCGGAGAUCAAAGCCGGGGAUCGCAAGACCUGGCGCUUGGAGAGGAGCCCGCGGCCGAUUAGCUAGUUGGUGAGGUAACGGCUCACCAAGGCGACGAUCGGUAUCCGGCCUGAGAGGGCGGACGGACACACUGGGACUGAGACACGGCCCAGACUCCUACGGGAGGCAGCAGUGGGGAAUUGUUCGCAAUGGGCGCAAGCCUGACGACGCAACGCCGCGUGGAGGACGAAGAUCUUCGGGUCGUAAACUCCUUUCGAUCGAGAAGAAUGCCUUCGGAGUGAAUACCUCCGGAGGGUGACGGUAUCGAGAGAAGAAGCCCCGGCUAACUCUGUGCCAGCAGCCGCGGUAAUACAGGGGGGGCAAGCGUUGUUCGGAAUUACUGGGCGUAAAGGGCUCGUAGGCGGCCAACUAAGUCACACGUGAAAUCCCCAGGCUUAACCUGGGAACUGCGUGUGAUACUGGAUGGC